GCCUCCCUGGCUCAGUUGGUUAGAGCGCCAGUCUCAUAUUGUUUGUGAGGGGUCUUGGGCUCUCUAAUCUGGAGGUCGUGAGUUCGACCCUCACGGGGGGCA
Non-coding RNA from Mycena haematopus, 102 nucleotides. The record is from the annotation of a GenBank genome assembly. Lineage: Eukaryota; Fungi; Basidiomycota; Agaricomycetes; Agaricales; Mycenaceae.